This 468-nucleotide ribosomal RNA is filed under the name uncultured bacterium. RNAcentral's name for it is "partial 16S ribosomal RNA". It matches the Rfam family "Bacterial small subunit ribosomal RNA", at positions 28 to 507 of the family's 1533-position model. The record is from RNAcentral.
GACGAACGCUGGCGGCGUGCUUAACACAUGCAAGUCGAACGGAAAGGCCCUGCUUUUGUGGGGUGCUCGAGUGGCGAACGGGUGAGUAACACGUGAGUAACCUGCCCUUGACUUUGGGAUAACUUCAGGAAACUGGGGCUAAUACCGGAUAGGAGCUCCUGCUGCAUGGUGGGGGGUGGAAAGUCUCGGCGGUUGGGGAUGGACUCGCGGCUUAUGAGCUUGUUGGUGGGGUAGUGGCUUACCAAGGCUUUGACGGGUAGCCGGCCUGGGAGGGUGACCGGCCACAUUGGGACUGAGAUACGGCCCAGACUCCUACGGGAGGCAGCAGUGGGGAAUAUUGCACAAUGGGCGGAAGCCUGAUGCAGCAACGCCGCGUGCGGGAUGACGGCCUUCGGGUUGUAAACCGCUUUCGCCUGUGACGAAGCGUGAGUGACGGUAAUGGGUAAAGAAGCACCGGCUAACUACGUG